AGAGUUUGAUCCUGGCUCAGAUUGAACGCUGGCGGCAUGCCUUACACAUGCAAGUCGAACGGUAACAGCACUUCGGUGGCUGACGAGUGGCGAACGGGUGAGUAAUACAUCGGAACGUGCCCGAGAGUGGGGGAUAACGCAGCGAAAGCUGUGCUAAUACCGCAUACGAUCUACGGAUGAAAGCAGGGGACCGCAAGGCCUUGCGCUCAUGGAGCGGCCGAUGGCAGAUUAGGUAGUUGGUGGGAUAAAAGCUUACCAAGCCGACGAUCUGUAGCUGGUCUGAGAGGACGACCAGCCACACUGGGACUGAGACACGGCCCAGACUCCUACGGGAGGCAGCAGUGGGGAAUUUUGGACAAUGGGCGAAAGCCUGAUCCAGCCAUGCCGCGUGCAGGAUGAAGGCCUUCGGGUUGUAAACUGCUUUUGUACGGAACGAAAAGGUCUUUUCUAAUAAAG
This 456-nucleotide ribosomal RNA is filed under the name uncultured bacterium. Its description in RNAcentral is "bacterial SSU rRNA". It matches the Rfam family "Bacterial small subunit ribosomal RNA", at positions 8 to 465 of the family's 1533-position model. The record is from RNAcentral.